UCGUGAGAUGUUGGGUUAAGUCCCGCAACGAGCGCAACCCUUGUCAUUAAUUGCCAUCAUUCAGUUGGGCACUUUAAUGAGACUGCCGGUGACAAACCGGAGGAAGGUGGGGAUGACGUCAAGUCCUCAUGGCCCUUAUGGGUAGGGCUUCACACGUAAUACAAUGGUCGGUACAGAGGGUUGCCAACCCGCGAGGGGGAGCCAAUCCCAGAAAACCGAUCGUAGUCCGGAUUGUAGUCUGCAACUCGACUGCAUGAAGUCGGAAUCGCUAGUAAUCGCGGAUCAGCAUGUCGCGGUGAAUACGUUCCCGGGCCUU
Molecule: ribosomal RNA, 316 nt
Filed under: uncultured Gallionellaceae bacterium
Lineage: Bacteria; Pseudomonadati; Pseudomonadota; Betaproteobacteria; Nitrosomonadales; Gallionellaceae
Description: bacterial SSU rRNA
Rfam family: Bacterial small subunit ribosomal RNA
Source: RNAcentral